UUCACCAUUGUAUGUAGUGCGUGAAUCCUAUGUAGGUUCUACGACGGUCCAUUGUGACAGAGAUAAAUAAAGAAUGAAAGGUAUUUUACAAAAUUUACAGUUCUUCAAAAUGAGCUUUCCGUGUGAUUUUGCUUAGAACCAACUCUGGCCCCUAGCCCCCCAAAUUUUAGCGUACCCCAAAAUCGUUUGACGUGCAGUACGUGCACAAGGAGACCAUAGAUAUGGUGUUCUCUGCAAAUUUUUGAAUGGAUUGAACAGAUAGAUUCUGAGAUAUCGCUGUACACAGAUUUGGGGGACGCAUGACGGACGGACACACAUUUUUCAAGUACGGUUAUUUUGACUCCUGGGACCUUAAAACGUCUAGAAAUGAUGAAAUUUCAACUUUUUUUUCUUGGAGGAUGACAAUACUUCCUCAGAGACAAGAGACCCUCCACUAGUAUCUUGGCCAUUGUGGAAGCUUUUACUUUCGGGACUUCAGCAUUCUACUGUUGACUUACCUACAUGGUUCUUGUUUAACAAAUGUGUUGGCAGUUUUGUUUUGCAAACAAGCCGAAAAUGGCCGACGUUUGGGAAACUUGUUUGGCUCAUGACGUCACCCGAAGCUCAUCAUCGACCAUGUAGGUAGGCCAACAGCCGAUAUUAGGGUGAUGACUGUUGCUCCCUUAUAAUUGUACAUAAGGAGUUGUUGAAACCCCGAAAGGAAGAGCUUCCACCUGUCGCUAGGAGGCCAGUGGAGGGUCUCUUGUCUCUGUACUUUCUCUACCGUAGGGGAGCGAGAAAGUAAAAAAAACAUUUUUGGAAAGGUUAAGUUUUAAAUGGUUGUGUCCCUUUGUUGCAGGUUUCUACUCGGUGAUCGCGCCAAAAGUUCUUCGGCCGAACACGGAAUACCAUGUGGCGGUGUCCGUGGAGGACGCCUCUCAACCGACGUCGGUCAUCGUCCAAGUUGGCGGGAAGCAGGACAGCGGCGGCACUUUCCGUACCUCCGAGUACGUCACCCUCGCCCCCUACGCCUCUCAGAUCGUCAAACUAGAGAUCGGAGACGUGGGCCCGGGGAUGUACAAUCUAACGGUGCAAGGUUCUGGUGGGCUGAGCUUCGAGACACGACCGAGCUGGAGUACGUGCACAAAAGCUACUCGGUCUUCAUCCAGACGGACAAAGCCAUCUACAAGCCCGGACACAAAGUCCAGUUCCGCUCAUCGUCCCCAACUCCCAUCUCAAGCCCGUUGUCACCGGAGCCCUCGAUAUUUUCAUCACGGUAUUGUCCAACCGGCAAUAUUUUUCUCCAUUUAAACCUAUGGAAAUGUAUCGAUUUUUUGAGGGGCCCAGGUGCUCCGACGAGAAUCGAUUAUUUAACAUAGGUUUAAAUGGAGGGAAUCCGUUGUUGUUCAAAUUUUUGGAUCCGCCCUGGGUCCAAGUUCCUCAAUUCUCACCCUUUCGGCCAAAUAUCAACAAGCGCCAUACCAUGUUUCAAAUUUCCGCCGCCAUUUUUUACAGAGAAAUGUCAACGAAGCUGUUCGAAAAUUUCUCGGAAUUUUCUUUGUACUGCUGAUAAAAUUU
This 1557-nucleotide long non-coding RNA is filed under the name Bemisia tabaci. RNAcentral describes it as "lncRNA ENSSWEETPG003422". The record is from RNAcentral. Lineage: Eukaryota; Metazoa; Arthropoda; Insecta; Hemiptera; Aleyrodidae.